Molecule: non-coding RNA, 481 nt
Organism: Tachysurus fulvidraco (yellow catfish)
Lineage: Eukaryota; Metazoa; Chordata; Actinopteri; Siluriformes; Bagridae
Source: the annotation of a RefSeq genome assembly
UUUCCAUAUUUCCAUGUUUAUAGCCCUGUGACUUUAACACUUCAUGACUGAGAGCUGCUGCUCAGCGACUUCACCCACAGAAACCAUGAGUUUGAUCAGCGUCUUCAUCUGCACACUGCUCCUCUGUGCUCAAGGAUCCCAAAGUCAGGCCGUUGUGACUCAGAGUCCUGCAGUGAAAUCUGUUUCUCCAGGAGACACAAUCACCAUCAGCUGUAAAACUAAUCUUGCUGUUGAUAAUGACUGUGCUGGUAGUUAUGACUGUUUGUACUGGUUUCAGCAGAAACAUGGAGAAGCUCCUAAACGGCUGAUCUAUUGGGCUAGUACUAGAGCAUCAGGUAUUCCAGAUCGAUUCAGUGGCAGUGGAUCUGGAACUGAUUUCACUCUGACCAUCAGUGGAGUCCAGACUGAAGAUACUGGAGAUUAUUACUGUCUAACUGAUCAUUACAACACAUUCAAAACUUCUUCGUUAACACAGUGUUAG